Molecule: ribosomal RNA, 506 nt
Filed under: uncultured bacterium
Lineage: Bacteria
Description: partial 16S ribosomal RNA
Rfam family: Bacterial small subunit ribosomal RNA
Source: RNAcentral
GAUGAACGCUAGCUACAGGCUUAACACAUGCAAGUCGAGGGGUAACGAGAGGGAAGCUUGCUUUCCUUGUCGACGACCGGCGCACGGGUGAGUAACGCGUAUCCAACCUGCCCCCAACUAGGGAAUAACCUUGCGAAAGUAAGACUAAUACCCUAUAAUUUCCUCAGAUGUCAUCUGACGAGGAAUAAAGAUUUAUCGGUUGUGGAUGGGGAUGCGUCUGAUUAGCUUGUUGGCGGGGUAACGGCCCACCAAGGCAACGAUCAGUAGGGGUUCUGAGAGGAAGGUCCCCCACAUUGGAACUGAGACACGGUCCAAACUCCUACGGGAGGCAGCAGUGAGGAAUAUUGGUCAAUGGGCGUAAGCUUGAACCAGCCAAGUAGCGUGCAGGAUGACGGCCCUAUGGGUUGUAAACUGCUUUUAUACAGGAAUAAAGUUAGCCACGUGUGGUUAUUUGUAGGUACUGUAUGAAUAAGGACCGGCUAAUUCCGUGCCAGCCGCCGCAGUAA